Molecule: ribosomal RNA, 451 nt
Filed under: uncultured bacterium
Lineage: Bacteria
Description: partial 16S ribosomal RNA
Rfam family: Bacterial small subunit ribosomal RNA
Source: RNAcentral
AACGAACGCUGGCGGCAGGCUUAACACAUGCAAGUCGAACGGGCGUAGCAAUACGUCAGUGGCAGACGGGUGAGGAACACGUGGGAAUAUCCCCUUCAGUUCGGAAUAACUCAGGGAAACUUGAGCUAAUACCGGAUACGUCAGAGAUGGGAAAGAUUUAUCGCUGAAGGAUUAGCCCGCGUCUGAUUAGCUAGUUGGUGAGGUAAUGGCUCACCAAGGCUACGAUCAGUAGCUGAUCUGAGAGGAUGAUCAGCCACAUUGGGACUGAGACACGGCCCAAACUCCUACGGGUGGCAGCAGUGGGGAAUAUUGGACAAUGGGCGCAAGCCUGAUCCAGCCAUGCCGCGUGAGUGAUGAAGGCCUUCGGGUUGUAAAGCUCUUUUGUCCGGGAAGAUAAUGACUGUACCGGAAGAAUAAGCCCCGGCAAACUUCGUGCCAGCCGCCGCGGUAA